This 169-nucleotide ribosomal RNA is filed under the name Brachirus annularis (annular sole). Its description in RNAcentral is "partial 12S rRNA". The record is from RNAcentral. Lineage: Eukaryota; Metazoa; Chordata; Actinopteri; Pleuronectiformes; Soleidae.
CACCGCGGUUAAACGAGAAGCUCAAGUUGACAAACAACGGCAUAAAGCGUGGUUAAGGACUAACCCAGACUAAAGCCAAACCCUUUCAAGGCCGUCAUACGCAUCCGAAAGCAUGAAGCCCAACAACGAAAGUGACUUUACCCACCCUGAACCCACGAAAGCUAAGAAA